Molecule: long non-coding RNA, 1803 nt
Filed under: Papio anubis (olive baboon)
Lineage: Eukaryota; Metazoa; Chordata; Mammalia; Primates; Cercopithecidae
Description: lncRNA (ENSPANG00000040719.1)
Source: RNAcentral
AUGUGCUCUCAGGUCACACGCCAGAGGCUCUUGUCAUUCUGGAGAAGAGCAGAGGUUAGUAGCAUGCGCUGUGAAAGCUCCACUUGGAAAACCAUCACAAGAAAGAGAUGCACUCAGAAAGGGAAAGCCAGCAUGCAGGCAGCAAUCUUAAGGAAGAGAGUCCAGACAUUCUCCACUCUGCAUGGUUGCCGUGGAAAGAACCAGAGUGCUAAGGCAUUACUGAGAGGAAAGUGACCCAGCUUACAGCAACUUGUCCAUCAGCAAGAAAUAAAAUUGCCAGGUGUUAAAGCACUGAAACUUUAAGACUGUUACAGCCACUCACAUGAAUUACACUGACUCAAUUUUCUAUAUAGGUACUAGUUACAGCAAGUAGAAAGUACAAUAGGGGGAAAAAAAGAUUCCAGUCACAGUAACGAGAGGAACAGAAAGCCUAGACAUGCAUCUGACAAGAAAUGUGCAAGAACUGUAUUCAAAUACCUGUGAAGGUUCCCAAGUUUCCCAAACUUGGUCUGCAUAUUCAAUGCAAUCCUCAUCAAAAUUACAACAGUAUGUUUUUAGAACCUGACACACUGAUUCCCACAUUCAUCCGGUGGAGUAAAUAAAUGCAAAAAAACUAAUAAAAUUCUGAUUUAAAACACACAAUUAAGGGAAAUAGGCCAGACAUCAAAACAUAUUGUCUUGUUAUAGAAAUUAACAUAAUGUGUUUAUGGAGGAAAGGACAAAUAAAUCAAUAGAACGGAACAGAAAAUCUAGACAUAUCACUAAGGUGGCAUUUUUAAAUCAGUGUAGAAAAAUGAUUUCCUCCAUGUAUUCAAUGGUUUUCAAGUAAACGGCCAUCCAUUAAGGAGAAACAAAAUUAGAUAUACCAUGACCAAAAGUAAAUUCGCAAUGAUUUUGAAAGAAUGGAAUAAAAUAUCAAAAUAACUUCAUAAUCUUAUGAUGGGGAAGGAUUCUCCCAGCUAGUCAUAAAAUUCAGAAGUCAAAGGAAACACUACCUGAACAUUUAAAACACGCCUGUGACCAAAGAACACCAUAAAAAAGGGGAAAUUAGAAAAAAUGAGAGAAAAUAUUUGCAACAUAUACCAUAGGCUAAAGAUUGAUAUUCAGGGUAUGUGUUUAAAAAUCGCCAACUACUCAAGAAGAUGAAAACAACCCAAGAGGGAAAUGAGUAACAUUACGAACCAGUGAAAAAGAACGAAUUCUGAUAGUAGGUUCUGAUAUGUUAAGGUUUUGAAGAUUGUUAGAAAAACCAUGAAGGGCUGUGGAACAUGUAAAGUAGAAUCGCGUUUACAUUUGACAGUUGUGUGUGUGAGUAUGUAUGGAUGUGUUCGCGUGUUUGUGUGUGUGACAGCAUGCGUGAGUGUGUGUGAGUGUGCAUGUAAGUGCACGUGAAGGCACAGAAAAGGAUCUAGAGAGAAACAGGCAGGAUUGUUAAUAGUGGCUCCUUCUAGGGAGGAAACUGUCAGGGGUCACUUAAAGGAGAAAAUGGCAUUUAUGGUUUAUUCUAAAGUCUACACACAAAAAAAAUAUUGUUUUUAAUUGCAUAGAGAAUUGUUGCAUGCAUAUGUACAUACUUUUAACAGACUUUAUUUUUCAGAGCAGUUCUACGUUUGCAGCACAAUUGGGCAGAAGGUACAGAGAGUUCUCAUAUACCUGUACCCCGCACCCAGCCAGCCUCUCCCAGUAUCAGCACCUUGCACCAGAUCGGUACAGUCGUGACAGCUGGUGGACCCACAGUGAUGCAUCCUAAUCACCCAGAUCCAUAGUUUACACCAGGAUUCACGAUUGGAAUUAUACAUGCUG